CAAGGCUUGACAUAUACCGGAAAGCAUUAGAGAUAGUGCCCCCCUUGUGGUCGGUAUACAGGUGGUGCAUGGCUGUCGUCAGCUCGUGUCGUGAGAUGUUGGGUUAAGUCCCGCAACGAGCGCAACCCUUGUCCUGUGUUGCCAGCAUGCCCUUCGGGGUGAUGGGGACUCACAGGAGACCGCCGGGGUCAACUCGGAGGAAGGUGGGGACGACGUCAAGUCAUCAUGCCCCUUAUGUCUUGGGCUGCACACGUGCUACAAUGGCCGGUACAAUGAGCUGCGAUACCGCAAGGUGGAGCGAAUCUCAAAAAGCCGGUCUCAGUUCGGAUUGGGGUCUGCAACUCGACCCCAUGAAGUCGGAGUUGCUAGUAAUCGCAGAUCAGCAUUGCUGCGGUGAAUA
This 400-nucleotide ribosomal RNA is filed under the name uncultured Streptomyces sp. RNAcentral's name for it is "bacterial SSU rRNA". It matches the Rfam family "Bacterial small subunit ribosomal RNA", at positions 975 to 1368 of the family's 1533-position model. Lineage: Bacteria; Bacillati; Actinomycetota; Actinomycetes; Kitasatosporales; Streptomycetaceae. The record is from RNAcentral.